GGAAGCCUGGAAUUAAGGAUGCAAGCAUGUUCAUGAGCGUGGUGUAGGAUGGAUGGGGAAGGAAAUUGCAGGAGACCUUCCGCUCCCUCCUCCACCUGGGGCUGGGCCGUGAAAACAAUAACAGAGAGCACGCCAGUGAUCAUAAGAAGAAAAAUUCACAUUUAAAGUUUGGAAAGCAACAGGACAAAGGUCUGUCUUCAGUGGGAGUAUCCUAUGAAGAUGGUCUCAAAGCACUUUGAGAUGAACAGAAUGUUCUAUAAAUGGGAAUUGAAAAUAAUCAAGACAUUCA
RNAcentral lists this long non-coding RNA (289 nucleotides) under Rhinopithecus roxellana (golden snub-nosed monkey). RNAcentral's name for it is "lncRNA (ENSRROG00000046037.1)". Lineage: Eukaryota; Metazoa; Chordata; Mammalia; Primates; Cercopithecidae. The record is from RNAcentral.